Molecule: ribosomal RNA, 274 nt
Filed under: uncultured bacterium
Lineage: Bacteria
Description: partial 16S ribosomal RNA
Rfam family: Bacterial small subunit ribosomal RNA
Source: RNAcentral
AUACGGAGGGUGCAAGCGUUAUUCGGAAUCACUGGGCGUAAAGGACACGUAGGCGGGAAGCCAAGUCUGAUGUGAAAUCCUAUGGCUCAACCAUAGAACUGCAUUGGAAACUGGUUACCUAGAGUAUGCGAGGGGGAGAUGGAAUUAGUGGUGUAGGGGUAAAAUCCGUAGAUAUCUCUAGGAAUACCUAAAGCGAAGGCGAUCUCCUGGAACAUUACUGACGCUAAGGUGUGAAAGCGUGGGGAGCAAACGGGAUUAGAAACCCCAGUAGUCC